UACACGCAUGACACACUGCAUAUCAAUAAGCGGAGGAAAAGAAACUAACAAGGAUUCCCCUAGUAACGGCGAGUGAAGCGGGAAGAGCUCAAAUUUGAAAUCUUCAAGGUUCUACCUUGACGAAUUGUAGUUUAUAGAAGUGUUUUCUGUUAGUAGAGUGGCAAAAGUUCUUUGGAAUAGGACAUCAUAGAGGGUGAGAAUCCCGUAUUUGGUCAUUCUUUCUAGCUUUGUGAUACACUUUCAACGAGUCGGAUUGUUUGGGAAUGCAGUCCAAAAUGGGUGGUAAAUUUCAUCUAAAGCUAAAUAUUGGCGAGAGACCGAUAGCGAACAAGUACCGUGAGGGAAAGAUGAAAAGAACUUUGAAAAGAGAGUUAAACAGUACGUGAAAUUGUCAAAAGGGAAGCGUUAGACACCAGUGUUGUUUUCUCGAAAAUCAAUUAAAAAAGGCCGGAUUUUGUGUUGUAUUGACCUUAAAAGCUUUCUUCACUCUCUUCUUGUCUUUUUUAAUGCACUUUUCGUUUAACAAGUCAACAUCAGUUUCUUUUGUUGUAAAAGGGUCAUUGGAAGGUGGCUUUCUUUUCGGAGAAAGUGUUUAUAGCCUUUGAUCUCUGCAACCGGAGAGACUGAGGUCCGCAGCGUAGACUCUUCGGGGUUAGAUACAUUUGUGCUAAGUUAUAGUUUUUCAUAGACAACAUGUUGACUAUGAUUAAUCAUGUAGCUUACUCGCUUAUGCUAUUUUACCUACGCUUAGGAUGUUGAGCGCAUGUCUCUCUCU
RNAcentral lists this ribosomal RNA (775 nucleotides) under uncultured Neocallimastigales. RNAcentral's name for it is "partial large subunit ribosomal RNA". It matches the Rfam family "Eukaryotic large subunit ribosomal RNA", at positions 22 to 616 of the family's 3401-position model. The record is from RNAcentral. Lineage: Eukaryota; Fungi; Neocallimastigomycota; Neocallimastigomycetes; Neocallimastigales.